AUUGAACGCUGGCGGCAGGCCUAACACAUGCAAGUCGAACGGUAACAGGAAGCAGCUUGCUGCUUCGCUGACGAGUGGCGGACGGGUGAGUAAUGUCUGGGAAACUGCCUGAUGGAGGGGGAUAACUACUGGAAACGGUAGCUAAUACCGCAUAACGUCGCAAGACCAAAGAGGGGGACCUUAGGGCCUCUUGCCAUCGGAUGUGCCCAGAUGGGAUUGGCUAGUAGGUGGGGUAACGGCUCACCUAGGCGACGAUCCCUAGCUGGUCUGAGAGGAUGACCAGCCACACUGGAACUGAGACACGGUCCAGACUCCUACGGGAGGCAGCAGUGGGGAAUAUUGCACAAUGGGCGCAAGCCUGAUGCAGCCAUGCCGCGUGUAUGAAGAAGGCCUUCGGGUUGUAAAGUACUUUCAGCGGGGAGGAAGGGAGUAAAGUUAAUACCUUUGCUCAUUGACGUUACCCGCAGAAGAAGCACCGGCUAACUCCGUG
Molecule: ribosomal RNA, 490 nt
Filed under: uncultured bacterium
Lineage: Bacteria
Description: partial 16S ribosomal RNA
Rfam family: Bacterial small subunit ribosomal RNA
Source: RNAcentral